Chinchilla lanigera (long-tailed chinchilla) is the source of this 265-nucleotide long non-coding RNA. RefSeq lists it as uncharacterized. Lineage: Eukaryota; Metazoa; Chordata; Mammalia; Rodentia; Chinchillidae. The transcript has 3 exons. The record is from RefSeq and is a predicted model, not a curated record.
CAGCCACCACUGGCCAUGACCUUUCAGUUCCCAGCACAGGUCCUGGGGCCCACAUGCAUUCUCUUCCUGCUGAAUGUCACAGAGCGCCCUGUGCUCUUUUUACCUGAGCUGAUGUGGCCUCUCUGUCCUGCCAUUUCUCCUUGGAACCAAUGGACCAUGGACUGAAUCCUCUGAAAACGUCUCUCUGCCUCUCUGAUUCCUGGAUGCCAUCAGGUGAGCAGCCUCUUCACCCUGCCUUUCCACCAUGUUUCUGCUUCUCCACAAG